Molecule: ribosomal RNA, 492 nt
Filed under: uncultured bacterium
Lineage: Bacteria
Description: partial 16S ribosomal RNA
Rfam family: Bacterial small subunit ribosomal RNA
Source: RNAcentral
AGUGAACGCUGGCGGUAGGCCUAACACAUGCAAGUCGAACGGCAGCACAGUAAGAGCUUGCUCUUACGGGUGGCGAGUGGCGGACGGGUGAGGAAUACAUCGGAAUCUACUUUUUCGUGGGGGAUAACGUAGGGAAACUUACGCUAAUACCGCAUACGACCUACGGGUGAAAGCCGGGGAGCUUCGGACCUUGCGCGAUUGUAUGUGCCGAUGUCGGAUUAGCUAGUUGGCGGGGGAAAGGCCCACUAAGGCGACGCUACGUAGCUGGUAUGAGAGGAUGGUCAGCCGCACUGGAAGGGCAACACCCUCGAGGCUACUACUAGAGGGAGCAGAGGGGAAUAUUGGACAACGGGCGCAAACCUGAUCCAGCCAUACCGAGUGUGUGAAAGCGACUUCCGGGUUGUAAAGCCUUUUUGUUGGGAAAAAAACGCAGCUGGUUAAUACCCCGCUAUACUGACGGUACCCAAAGAAUAAGCACCGGCUAACUUCGCG